Molecule: transfer RNA, 76 nt
Filed under: Capsicum annuum
Lineage: Eukaryota; Viridiplantae; Streptophyta; Magnoliopsida; Solanales; Solanaceae
Rfam family: tRNA
About the family: Transfer RNA (tRNA) molecules are approximately 80 nucleotides in length. Their secondary structure includes four short double-helical elements and three loops (D, anti-codon, and T loops).
Source: Rfam by way of RNAcentral
GGCCUAUUAGCUUAGUUGGUUAGAGCAUUGUGUUAAUAAUGCGAAGGUAGCAGGUUUUUGACACCUGCAUGGGUCA